UAGAUCAUGGCAUUCUAUUAAGGUAAAUGAUAAUGGAUCCAUUAUUUUUGAUUAACAUUAUAGGCACCAUCCGUCUAGUGUUCUCUUUGAAUGAUAGAAUUAUCAUUCAUUAUAUAAUGACUCUAUUGAACUAUCUGAUGGUGGUCAAGUUGACCAAGCCAUCCUUGGGCCUGAUCAUUUUUUGGUUAGAAUCACUGAGUAGGUUCAUAUUAAUGGUUGGACCUAAUCGAGACUUUCAGUGGAGAUCCAUCAUCUACUAAAAUAAAAUUUGAGGCUAAAUUAAAUACUAAAAAUUAUUUGAAGAAAUAAUUGAUUGAAA
Molecule: long non-coding RNA, 319 nt
Filed under: Elaeis guineensis (African oil palm)
Lineage: Eukaryota; Viridiplantae; Streptophyta; Magnoliopsida; Arecales; Arecaceae
Description: long non-coding RNA (EGUI_LNC055550)
Source: RNAcentral